Molecule: long non-coding RNA, 689 nt
Filed under: Saimiri boliviensis boliviensis (Bolivian squirrel monkey)
Lineage: Eukaryota; Metazoa; Chordata; Mammalia; Primates; Cebidae
Description: lncRNA (ENSSBOG00000036525.1)
Source: RNAcentral
CCGGGAGCCGUCCCCCAGGAAGAUCCCCACCACCAGCUCCUUCCUGUCCCCAUGGUGUCCCCUCACUCCUUCCUUCUGGAUGGGGGCCAGAGGGCAAAGGAGGGUAUAAAGGCGACCUGGAGGGACCCAGGCACAAGCAGACGCCAGCGAAGACUCUCCCGGCCAGAUCCCUGGGAUGCGCCAGCCAGAGGCCAUGCUGCUGCUGCUCACCCUGGCCCUCCUGGGGGGCCCCACCUGGGCAGGGAGUAAGUCCGCGGGGUCUGCGCCCAAUCUCCCCUGCCUCCCUCCAGACUCACUCUGGUCACAGAACCAUCCUGUCUGGCUAGAGGGGCGGGUCCCCUGUUCUGGCAGAGGUCGCCCCCAUAUCACGGCAUGGGGAUUUUCUCCCCCUUGGUUCUCUCUUCCCUGCAGAGAUGUAUGGUCCUGGAGGAGGGAAGUAUUUCAGCACCACGGAAGACUACGACCACGACAUCACAGGGCUGCGGGUGUCUUCGGCUCUUAUGGUGAAAAGUGUCCAGGUGAGACUUGGCGACUCCUGGGAUGUUAAACAGGGCGCCUCAGGUGGGCAGACCCAGGAAGUCAUCCUGGAGCAAGGCGAAUACAUCAUAAAAGUCGUUGGCGCCUUCAAAGUUUUCCUGCAGGGUAUGGCCCUGUGCACCAACAAAGGCCGCUGUUUCUAUUUUGGGAAG